This 434-nucleotide long non-coding RNA is filed under the name Hordeum vulgare. Its description in RNAcentral is "long non-coding RNA (HVUL_LNC003773)". The record is from RNAcentral. Lineage: Eukaryota; Viridiplantae; Streptophyta; Magnoliopsida; Poales; Poaceae.
GGGACGGAAAAGCUCGUGAUGGAUCGGAGGAAGAAGAGCCAAUAUGAAGCAAUCGUGCACGAUGACCCGUCAUGGCACUACCAUAGGGCAAUGAAAGUGUGGAUUCGGACAUCAAUGGUUUUGAUCAAGCAAUUUCAAGGAAAGGAACUCAUCCCCGUGUGACCUGAUUUGUAACUCACCAAAAACAGAAGGCAACAUUCUAUGGAACUACCAAAUCAGGUCACAGAUCAGACAAGCAAAAAACAAUAGGUGAUUUCAAAGAAUAAAAGAAAAGAAGCUGGGGCAUGGCAUCGAGGAGGAUACAGUCACAGAUUGGACAAACCAGCCUCGACCCAGAAAAAUGGUUGUUGACCACCGGCCUCCCGCCACGCUGCUUCGGCCUCCACUCAGCCCCGCAGGCCGGCUCUGCCACUUGCGGCCGCGCUUGGCUGNNN